Molecule: long non-coding RNA, 219 nt
Filed under: Carica papaya (papaya)
Lineage: Eukaryota; Viridiplantae; Streptophyta; Magnoliopsida; Brassicales; Caricaceae
Description: long non-coding RNA (CPAP_LNC002874)
Source: RNAcentral
GAGCCUUUGCAGAUGCUAUCGCUAGCACUAUAGGGAUGUACUAUGCAAUCAAAGAGGGUAUGUGCAUCCAAAUUCCAAUUAAAAGUAGUGGUCAAGCUCGGGCCCUUUAUAGAGAAGGAAAUAAUAGGGAAAUAUAUGGGGACUACAUUAUAAGGAUUAAAUAGGGAAGAGAAACUUUAGAUUAAAAAAAAAGAUCCAAAAUAAUAAUAAUAAUCAACU